RNAcentral lists this transfer RNA (75 nucleotides) under Candidatus Cloacimonadota bacterium. RNAcentral's name for it is "tRNA-Gln". It matches the Rfam family "tRNA". Rfam says of the family: Transfer RNA (tRNA) molecules are approximately 80 nucleotides in length. Their secondary structure includes four short double-helical elements and three loops (D, anti-codon, and T loops). Further hydrogen bonds mediate the characteristic L-shaped molecular structure. tRNAs have two regions of fundamental functional importance: the anti-codon, which is responsible for specific mRNA codon recognition, and the 3' end, to which the tRNAs corresponding amino acid is attached (by aminoacyl-tRNA synthetases). tRNAs cope with the degeneracy of the genetic code in two manners: having more than one tRNA (with a specific anti-codon) for a particular amino acid; and 'wobble' base-pairing, i.e. permitting non-standard base-pairing at the 3rd anti-codon position. The record is from RNAcentral. RNAcentral also lists the same sequence under 1 other name. Lineage: Bacteria; Pseudomonadati; Candidatus Cloacimonadota.
UGGGUAGUCGCCAAGCGGUAAGGCAGCAGGUUCUGGCCCUGCCAUCCGGGGGUUCGAAUCCUCCCUACCCAGCCA